GACAGAGGUGCCGAGCGUUAGGCGGAAUCACUGGGCUUAAAGCGUGUGUAGGCGGAUGGGUAAGUACCUUGUGAAAUCCCACGGCUCAACCGUGGAACUGCUCGGUAUACUGCUCGUCUUGAGCCAACUAGGGGCGACCGGAACAAAUGGUGGAGCGGUGAAAUGCGUAGAUAUCAUUUGGAACGCCAAUGGUGAAAACAGGUAGCUGGGGCUGUGCUGACGCUGAGACACGAAAGCCAGGGGAGCAAACGGG
RNAcentral lists this ribosomal RNA (253 nucleotides) under uncultured bacterium. RNAcentral describes it as "partial 16S ribosomal RNA". It matches the Rfam family "Bacterial small subunit ribosomal RNA", at positions 524 to 776 of the family's 1533-position model. The record is from RNAcentral.